GACGAACGCUGGCGGCGUGCUUAACACAUGCAAGUCACGGGGGUCUCGGGGCAAACUCGGGGAUAACCCGGCGAAACGGGUGCGUAACACGUAAGCGACCUGCCGAUUCGCGGGGGAUAGCCGGCCCAACGGGCCGGGUAAUACCGCAUACGCUUGCUGGGUUUCAUGGCCGGGCAAGGAAACCUCCGGGGAAACCGGGUGGGGCGGAUCGAGGGGCUUGCGGCCUAUCAGCUAAGUUGGUGAGGUAACGGCUCACCAAGGCGGUGACGGGUAGCCUGGUCUGAGAGGAUGGCCAGCCACAUU
Molecule: ribosomal RNA, 303 nt
Filed under: uncultured bacterium
Lineage: Bacteria
Description: bacterial SSU rRNA
Rfam family: Bacterial small subunit ribosomal RNA
Source: RNAcentral